GAUUCCGUAGCUCAGUUGGUAGAGCACUUGACUUUUAAUCAAGGGGUCCCGGGUUCGAGCCCCGGCGGAAUCA
RNAcentral lists this transfer RNA (73 nucleotides) under Saprospiraceae bacterium. RNAcentral's name for it is "tRNA-Lys". It matches the Rfam family "tRNA". Rfam says of the family: Transfer RNA (tRNA) molecules are approximately 80 nucleotides in length. Their secondary structure includes four short double-helical elements and three loops (D, anti-codon, and T loops). Lineage: Bacteria; Pseudomonadati; Bacteroidota; Saprospiria; Saprospirales; Saprospiraceae. The record is from RNAcentral.